AUAGCUGACGAGUCCCAGAUAGGGCGAAACGUAAGUCCUGUAU
Schistosoma mattheei is the source of this 43-nucleotide non-coding RNA. NCBI's taxonomy places the organism in Eukaryota, Metazoa, Platyhelminthes, Trematoda, Strigeidida, Schistosomatidae. The record is from Rfam.